ACAUUUAUUUGUUGGAUUUCUGGAAUGUAAGAAGAGUUUAGUCAUCGCAGCUGGAUAUCUCCUGGUGUCAGCUGUGGGUCAGUCAGUCAGCUCUCUGCUCCAGCAGGGAACCAGUAGACCCAGUUGGCUGAGGAAGGUUCCACAGUCACCCCGUAACACUGGGGCAGGAGACCAUGAGAGCCAGAAGUCCUCUCAGCCAUCUCACAGCUCUUCUUCUCUGUAAGCAUGGGGAUCAGUGAUGGGCUUGCACAGCGUGGCCAGCAGUGCUGAACUGCAUGUGCUUUGGGGAAAAAUGGGUAACUUCGUGGCAACAGUGGACAAAUGAUGCAGAGUUUCAUUUGCUGUGCCUGCAGAGCAUCCUCUGCUCGUCUCCUCAAGGUGAUAUGCUAAACCCUGCUCCCUGGAGCGUGGCAAUCAGCUCUUGCUGGACUGUGACCAAGCUGCAGAUGUCGGCUGAGGGAAUCGCGGGGUCUCUGCAUUGCUGAGCACCACGGCCACGUCCUGGCCAGCUCCAGUGGGGUGGGAUUGACCCCAGACUCAGAGCUCCCACGAAGACCUGAGUGAGCCAAGAGCUGCAGCCUGGCUGUGGGUGCUCUGAGCACCAUCUCUGUCCCAGGCAGUGCUCUCAGGUGCUGCUGCUGUAUCUGUGAGUUCCUGAAAUGCCUGUUACACUGCCUCAUAAUGGUCACUCCAGCCUAAGCUCUGCUCUGGGUCACUCUUGGCAAUACAAGGGAUGAGUCUGGAAAUUAAUUACUCCUACAGAACAGGAGAGUUUUGAAGAAGAGCAGAAAGGGACCAAGCUUCCCUGUUCUGGAUGCCUGCUUGUGUACCAGACCGCAGCUGUGUUUAUGGGAAGAGACAUUUUCAUGCCAGUAAUUUUCAUGCACACCAGGCCUUGUGCAAUUUUUUCUUUCCAUUUACAAUAUUAUUUUAUAUGAUAAAUUUGAAGUGUGGCUUUCGUGCAUGAA
Cyanistes caeruleus (blue tit) is the source of this 968-nucleotide non-coding RNA. The record is from RefSeq and is a predicted model, not a curated record. Lineage: Eukaryota; Metazoa; Chordata; Aves; Passeriformes; Paridae.